Long non-coding RNA from Magnolia sinica, 1028 nucleotides. RefSeq lists it as uncharacterized. NCBI's taxonomy places the organism in Eukaryota, Viridiplantae, Streptophyta, Magnoliopsida, Magnoliales, Magnoliaceae. The transcript is spliced from 2 exons. The record is from RefSeq and is a predicted model, not a curated record.
GAUAUAAAUGGUGUGGAUGAUGGUGGUGGUGGUAGUGAUGUAUGGGAAACCUCCCAUGGGUUUGUAAGAUGCAGCUAGUAGCAAUGAAAAGGUCUGGUGGGGCAGGCAUCCCUGCAAGGCUUGUGGGAGAUUUUUGAAGGGGUGAGAAAGCUUCAUAAGGAGAUGGGAAGGGUGGUUGCUGCUGUGGUUUUCUUUGAGAGGGAAGAUUCCCAAUCAAUCUAAUUUGAAAUGUUUCUGAGUUUCAGUUUGAUGGUAGCAUUUAUAAGUUUUGAUCAGGUAGCAAGUUACUGAAAUUGAUUUGCUCAUCCAUCUCUCUAAUCAAAUUAAGCUUAGUAAAAGAAAGUUUCUAUUGGCCUAAGAUGUGCAGAGACGUCUCCAAGCAUGUGGAGAGGUGCACAAAAUACUAGUCUGCAUACACUCAGAUUUCAAGGAGUGAAGAACUUCUCAUUGUGCAGGUUGGCCAGUUUGCAAAUUGCUUGAUUGAGGCUAGAAAUGAAUUGCAGCAUAAGUAUGUGCCUAUCAUCUCGUUCAAUGUGCUGACUUGCUCAUGGGUUGCAUUUUUUUUCUCUUUUCUUUUUUACCAAUUUCAAGUACUUUUUGUUUUUGUGCAAAUCUGAGAUCAUUCAACGUAAGUUUACAAUAACAAAGGCACUGCUAUUCAAGGCUGACAAGUCAUCGUUCGACUGCCUUUGUCAACAGAUAUACAAGCUAGAAGCAGAACAGAAGAGACUAGAGGAGGAUGCAACCGUAUACAAUCGACUGCAGGAGCAGCUGAAGCUCUCACCGGCAUAUAAGAAGGUACUAUAUGGUCCUCAACCAAGUACAUGGAUGGUAUCCUCCAGUUUGCAGUUUGUGUCAACGGAACUGUGCUUCAGCGAUCCAGACCAUUGAUACCAUGGGCCCCCACUUUUGAAGGGCAUAUCUCGAAAACCAUUCAGAUUAGAAGACCCUUCCCAACCCAGUUGGAUGAUGAGGUUGUAUGAUGAACAUAUGGGAAUAUGAUUAAAUGAAAUGAUCGAUGUUUGGCU